This 421-nucleotide ribosomal RNA is filed under the name Pseudomystides spinachia. RNAcentral's name for it is "partial 16S ribosomal RNA". It matches the Rfam family "Bacterial large subunit ribosomal RNA", at positions 1959 to 2598 of the family's 2925-position model. Lineage: Eukaryota; Metazoa; Annelida; Polychaeta; Phyllodocida; Phyllodocidae. The record is from RNAcentral.
GCAUAAUCAUUUGCCCCCUAAUUAGGGGCUGGAAUGAAGGGAUAUACUAAAUUAAUUCUGUCUCUUUUUUAAUUAUAAAAAUUGUUUUUUAGGUGAAGACUCCUAAAUAUUAAUGAAAGACAAAAAGACCCUAUUGAGCUUUAUUUAAGGCGGGAAUUUUAGAUUAAUUUACUUUUUUACUUAAAUUAAAUUUGGUUGGGGCGACAAGAGAAUAAAUAAAUCUUCUCUUAAUGUAAAGAGAUAUAUCUCUUUUUGUAGAUCUAUAGAUGUGAUAUAAAGAAAUAGUUACCAUAGGGAUAACAGGCUAAUCUUUUUGGAGAGUUCAAAUUGAUAAAAAGGGUUGGCACCUCGAUGUUGGCUUAAAGUAUCCUAUGGGUGUAGCAGCCUAUAAGGGUUGGUUUGUUCAACCAUUAAAACUUUA